This 496-nucleotide long non-coding RNA is filed under the name Bos taurus (domestic cattle). Its description in RNAcentral is "long non-coding RNA NONBTAT025927". Lineage: Eukaryota; Metazoa; Chordata; Mammalia; Artiodactyla; Bovidae. The record is from RNAcentral.
ACGUAGGCUUUAUUAAUGAAAACACAAAAGUAUUCCCAAAGGAGCAUUUUCUCACAAUGCACUUGCCUGUCUUCUCUCUGAAGGAAAGCCUUCAAAUGUGUAGAGUGAUGUGUUAUGCUCCCAACAACUUGCAUGUGGAAAUUUAACUAUUGGUGCCAUAAUAGCAAGAGCUAAGGUUUAUCUCAUGUCUUCAUAAAUCUGUAUGACGCCUUUCAUCCUAUUUUAGAGGUUAUGUGCACAGUUAACCCUCUUGAUAUGAGUUCAUUUCUAAGUAACGUGAAACAAAACUAAAAUAUGUUAUAUUUCAUAAACAUAAGAUCAGUGAUGAUGUAAAUCCAUCAAAUCUAAUCCUGCAGCAAAAACGUUUCACACUUUUUCUUCAAAUACUAUCCAUUGUUUUAUCACUUUUUGAUGUUUUAAAUGUUUUUAUUAUUGUGAAUCUGUCACCUAGUAACAUCUUGAAUAUCUUCCAAAGCAGGACUUCUUAACCUAAACA